CAAGGCGGGGACAGCGCGUGGGAUCCACCUCUUCCCAUCCCGAACAGAGAAGUUAAGCCACGCCGCGCCGAUGGUACUGCGGAAGCGGGAGAGUAGGUCACCGCCCCAU
RNAcentral lists this ribosomal RNA (109 nucleotides) under Candidatus Avimuribaculum pullicola. Lineage: Bacteria; Pseudomonadati; Bacteroidota; Bacteroidia; Bacteroidales. The record is from RNAcentral.